Long non-coding RNA from Zeugodacus cucurbitae (melon fly), 273 nucleotides. RefSeq lists it as uncharacterized. The transcript has 2 exons. NCBI's taxonomy places the organism in Eukaryota, Metazoa, Arthropoda, Insecta, Diptera, Tephritidae. The record is from RefSeq and is a predicted model, not a curated record.
AUAUUUCGUAUUACAAUGAUAUUGGUGAAAAGUAAUUAAAUUUUUCGUAUUGAUUUUUUUUCAACAAAAACGACACAUUUGACUUAUGACGGCGAAAUUGAUUUAUAUUUUUCACAAAUAACGACACAAUUCAAGAUGGGCCACGUUUAUGUCCAAGAAAAAGCAUUAGUACACUCUAUUUGGUCCAUUUAUGCUCAACAUUUUCUUUAAUAUACAGUUGAUCUCCUUUUUGCACGGUUAACUGGGACAGUAAAUUACUCGUGUAAAAAAAAA